Molecule: long non-coding RNA, 569 nt
Filed under: Homo sapiens (human)
Lineage: Eukaryota; Metazoa; Chordata; Mammalia; Primates; Hominidae
Description: non-protein coding lnc-USP53-8:13
Source: RNAcentral
GUGUCGCUAGGCUUCGGCCCGGCCGCCGCCGCACAUAAGCUGCGAGGAGGAGCUUUACGACUUCCCGGUCUUCGGGGCCGGGCGCAGCAAGGGCCAGACUCUGCGCUAGCAGGCGCUGCGCGCCAACCGGCCGGCACCUGUCGCAGAAGGUGCAACCGAUCGCACUGUCGCGCCGAAGCUCCUCAAUGGCCAGCGCCAGCUGCAGCCCCGGCCGCCCACUCGCCUCACCUGAGCCUGGGCGAAUCUGGAUUGGGAAAGUUGACAUUAAUCAACUCAUUAUUCCUCCCAGAUUUGUAUUCUCCAGAGUAUCCGGGUCCUUCUCAGAGAAUUAAAAAGCCUGUACAGGAGCUUGAAAAAUCACAUUUGAGAAGAGGAUUGGAUCCUAGCCAUAACAUAAAUAUAAGGGUGGAACCAAAGUUUUAAUCAAAGAAGGUGGUGUUCAGUUGCUGCUUACAAUAGUUGAUACCCCAGGAUUUGGAGAUGCAGUGGAUAACAGUAAUUGCUGGCAGCCUGUUAUCAAUUACAUUGAUAUUAAAUUUGAGGACUACCUAAAUGCAGAAUCGCGAGUG